This 587-nucleotide long non-coding RNA is filed under the name Jatropha curcas. RNAcentral's name for it is "long non-coding RNA (JCUR_LNC002352)". The record is from RNAcentral. Lineage: Eukaryota; Viridiplantae; Streptophyta; Magnoliopsida; Malpighiales; Euphorbiaceae.
UCGUUUUGUUUGAGACUGUCUAGUUUUAGUGGGAGUUUGCUCUUUAUGCAUGCAUUGUGUUUUUGAAUGCUCUAUUUUGUUUUGGAUAUGUUUUAUUAUGAAAUUUUGUUGAGUACUCAUUUUGGUUGAUGGUUACACUCUGUAUUAUUAUUAUUGUUUUGCUUGAUCUCACUUUUGUUGGUGACCAGUUGGAAACAGACAUGAUGAUCACAUUACAUGUAGUUUUCAUGCUACACUUCUAUAAUGAAUCUAUGUCAUUUAGGGAUAUUGGUAAUGUAGUUGAUGAUGAACUUAGUCAUGAGAUCUAUGGCGAAUGUUUCUUCAGCUCUUUAUCAAUAUAACUAAUGGACGAGAUUGUUUUUGGAUACCUUGUAUGACUGCGUUUGUUGAGCUCAUUUUGGUGUAUGUAUUUUAUUUAACAUAUGUUCGCCCAAGUGGGAGAUUGUUGGAUUUAAUUUUCUAUUGUGGGCUUAAUAUGUAAAAUUAAAUAUGUACAGCAGUCCAAUUGUAAAGUCAAUUUUAAAUGUGGUCUUGAUUGUGAAUAAUUGACUAUUGAGGUAUCAACUAAUUAUAGAUAUUAAGUGUAG